Molecule: ribosomal RNA, 253 nt
Filed under: uncultured bacterium
Lineage: Bacteria
Description: partial 16S ribosomal RNA
Rfam family: Bacterial small subunit ribosomal RNA
Source: RNAcentral
UACGGGGGGGGCAAGCGUUGUUCGGAAUUACUGGGCGUAAAGGGCUCGUAGGUGGCCAACUAAGUCAGACGUGAAAUCCCUCGGCUUAACCGGGGAACUGCGUCUGAUACUGGAUGGCUUGAGGUUGGGAGAGGGAUGCGGAAUUCCAGGUGUAGCGGUGAAAUGCGUAGAUAUCUGGAAGAACACCGAUGGCGAAGGCAGCCAUCUGGACCGACACUGACGCUGAGGCGCGAAAGCGUGGGGAGCAAACAGG